AGCCCUGUGGUGAGUACAGUGUGAGCUAUUCUUUUGCUUUGUACUAAAGAAUAUCGUGCUCUCCACUCAAAGCGGCAUAUGCCUAUUUUUGGAAGGGUGUUCCUCGUUGAAUGCC
Small nuclear RNA from Hibiscus syriacus, 115 nucleotides. RefSeq annotates it as U5 spliceosomal RNA. The transcript has a single exon. The record is from RefSeq and is a predicted model, not a curated record. Lineage: Eukaryota; Viridiplantae; Streptophyta; Magnoliopsida; Malvales; Malvaceae.